RNAcentral lists this transfer RNA (72 nucleotides) under Heterocephalus glaber (naked mole-rat). It matches the Rfam family "tRNA". Rfam says of the family: Transfer RNA (tRNA) molecules are approximately 80 nucleotides in length. Their secondary structure includes four short double-helical elements and three loops (D, anti-codon, and T loops). Further hydrogen bonds mediate the characteristic L-shaped molecular structure. tRNAs have two regions of fundamental functional importance: the anti-codon, which is responsible for specific mRNA codon recognition, and the 3' end, to which the tRNAs corresponding amino acid is attached (by aminoacyl-tRNA synthetases). tRNAs cope with the degeneracy of the genetic code in two manners: having more than one tRNA (with a specific anti-codon) for a particular amino acid; and 'wobble' base-pairing, i.e. permitting non-standard base-pairing at the 3rd anti-codon position. Lineage: Eukaryota; Metazoa; Chordata; Mammalia; Rodentia; Bathyergidae. The record is from Rfam by way of RNAcentral.
GGGGGAGUAGCCCAAAGGUAGAGCACUUGCCUAGCAUGCAGGGGGCCCUGGGUUCAAAUCCCAGCACUGCAA